GGGUUUUCGCCGAUUUCCGGCCAUUCCGGCCACCUCCGGCCACCAUAUUGACAUCGAAGGGUUCUUGAAGCUUCGGGGCUUUCCUUCACCGGCUUGAUUCGACCACUUCGAGGACGAGAGGAGUCUCCAUACGAGGAAAAUACCGAGCGACGUCAGGAUUGAGCAUAUAUCUUUUCAGUGUUGCUGCUCGGCGUUCAGGAGUGAGCCAUAGUGACCGCAUCCGCUUCCGUCAUCAUAUUUUGUAGGUUAUUUAUUUAGCCUACUGUACUCUAUGUUAAACUUAUAUUCCUAGAAUGCUCUGAUUACUAAGGGAUAUGUGACCCAAACUUGUAUGAAUUAUAUUUGAGGUCUAUGACCUAACUUUGGUGAUUGUAGUAACUUGUACCUUUCGGAGAUUAUGUAUGAUGUUGUUAGCUUUGAGA
Rosa rugosa (rugosa rose) is the source of this 422-nucleotide long non-coding RNA. RefSeq lists it as uncharacterized. The transcript is spliced from 4 exons. Lineage: Eukaryota; Viridiplantae; Streptophyta; Magnoliopsida; Rosales; Rosaceae. The record is from RefSeq and is a predicted model, not a curated record.